RNAcentral lists this non-coding RNA (31 nucleotides) under Mus musculus (house mouse). The record is from RNAcentral. Lineage: Eukaryota; Metazoa; Chordata; Mammalia; Rodentia; Muridae.
UAUAAAAUGCAAAUAACCCAGCAGGAGGCCA